GAUGCUGACAUGAAAAUCUUGGCCGUGGACCCUCUACGACCGGGGUCGGACCACGACGCUUUCCUCUGGCCAACAUGGCUGCGCCGGUGGUUUCAAGCGGGCCGCAUCGUGAAUCCCAGGGAAUACUUCCUCGAGAGGAGACAAAAGAAAGAAUAGUGAUUUCCAGUGGCCGCAGUGCAGCCUGAGAGAGAAAACUACAUGAUACCCAAGGGAAAUAUGGGGCUGACCCUCGUUGACUCAGCGGGACGUCCAGUAUGUACCCACAGCGAACGAUUACAGCCCUUGAGAGAACCGUUCCCUGGCGGCUUGUUUAGCAGCGCGGUGACGACUGGAACGAGUUUUGUAUAGUUCCUAAAUUUAUGCUUACCUUCGUCAUUGAUUUUCAUGUUCUAGUAUCUUAUUCUGCUAGUUCGCACCUCCAGUGGAGCUCUUAUAAAUUGCAAAAAACUGCGACUGACUGCACUGAGUACACCCGCAUUCAUCGGAACCACUACGA
Molecule: long non-coding RNA, 496 nt
Organism: Dermacentor andersoni
Lineage: Eukaryota; Metazoa; Arthropoda; Arachnida; Ixodida; Ixodidae
Source: RefSeq, a predicted model, not a curated record